Apodemus sylvaticus (European woodmouse) is the source of this 102-nucleotide small nuclear RNA. NCBI's taxonomy places the organism in Eukaryota, Metazoa, Chordata, Mammalia, Rodentia, Muridae. The record is from RefSeq and is a predicted model, not a curated record.
AUGCUUGGCAGCACAUAUACCAAAAUUGGAACAAUGUAGAGAAAAUUAGCAUGACCCCUGUGGAAAGAUGUCGUGCAAAUCUGUGAAGCAGUCUAUAUAUUU